CAAGGUGAAACCUAAUUGGCCUGGAGAAGAGCUUGCGUCUGAUUAGCUAGUUGGUGGGGUAAAGGCCUACCAAGGCGACGAUCAGUAGCUGGUCUGAGAGGAUGAGCAGCCACACUGGGACUGAGACACGGCCCAGACUCCUACGGGAGGCAGCAGUGGGGAAUUUUCCGCAAUGGGCGAAAGCCUGACGGAGCAACGCCGCGUGAGGGAGGAAGGUCUUUGGAUUGUAAACCUCUUUUCUCAAGGAAGAAGUUCUGACGGUACUUGAGGAAUCAGCCUCGGCUAACUCCGUGCCAGCAGCCGCGGUAAUACGGGGGAGGCAAGCGUUAUCCGGAAUUAUUGGGCGUAAAGCGUCCGCAGGUGGUCAGCCAAGUCUGCC
This 379-nucleotide ribosomal RNA is filed under the name Microcystis aeruginosa. RNAcentral describes it as "bacterial SSU rRNA". It matches the Rfam family "Bacterial small subunit ribosomal RNA", at positions 196 to 593 of the family's 1533-position model. The record is from RNAcentral. Lineage: Bacteria; Bacillati; Cyanobacteriota; Cyanophyceae; Chroococcales; Microcystaceae.